Molecule: long non-coding RNA, 209 nt
Filed under: Elaeis guineensis (African oil palm)
Lineage: Eukaryota; Viridiplantae; Streptophyta; Magnoliopsida; Arecales; Arecaceae
Description: long non-coding RNA (EGUI_LNC002474)
Source: RNAcentral
UACUGAACUUUCAUUAUCGACCAAGAUAUAAUGUACAUCAUAAUUUGUAAUAUUUAAAGACACUACAACCACAACAUCAUGUGGGGAUAACACUCCUCAGAGAUUGGCAUCAGAGAAGGUGACCAUGUUGCUUGUCCUCUAUCUCUUUGAAACAUUCUUCUUUUCAGCUCGAUCACGAUUCCUAGAUGGCCUGCCAAGGUACCCCCCAA